CUAUUUCCGCUGUGAGGCGGAGAGAUGGAUUACCAGAAGUCAGCAGAAGUCAUAGUAGGCUCAAUCAACGGGGCUGAAGGAC
Molecule: non-coding RNA, 82 nt
Organism: Spirochaetes bacterium GWC1_61_12
Lineage: Bacteria; Pseudomonadati; Spirochaetota
Source: Rfam